Molecule: long non-coding RNA, 459 nt
Filed under: Monodelphis domestica (gray short-tailed opossum)
Lineage: Eukaryota; Metazoa; Chordata; Mammalia; Didelphimorphia; Didelphidae
Description: lncRNA (ENSMODG00000042187.1)
Source: RNAcentral
UAUAUCUUGGGAACUCUGAAAAAGGGGUUCUGGAACCCUGGAGAGUGAGAAGGGGGAGUUUUGAAGGUGCAAUAGUCAUCUUGGGACUUGGGACUUCCUGUCCUGAAGCAAGAGAGGAAGGAGCUGCUUACUGCUGAGCCUAUUCUAACCAAGCCUAUUGGUUACUUGUUAAUCAUCUGCUCUGUGAGGCAUUAGGUGAAGAGAUGGGGAUAGAAAGGCAAAGCAGAAAACAGGCCCUGCCCUCAAGAGCUUCCGUUCUACUGGGAAGGGAGACAAGGAACAUGGACUACAGGAUGAGCACUAGAGGCAUAUUAAUGGAAAACCACUCCCUGCCUGCCUUAAGGAAGCUCACAUUCUCGCAAAAGAAAGUUCCAACUGUAACUCAGACUGAAUGACCCUGAGUUCCCAGCAGAGAAGAUGGCAGUAAAUCUGGAUGACUUAUUUCCAUUGAUAAAGUCA